CCAGGACACCUACAGCACCCGGUGUCACAGGAAAGCCAAAAAGAUCAUCAAGGACCAACCACCCGAGCCACGGCCUGUUCACCCUGUUAUCAUCCCGAAGGCAAGGACCUGAGCCCUAGGACCAUGCCUCAGGACUACCUGGCAUGAGUACUCCUUGCUGUCCCCAGUCCACCUGGCCAUGCUGCUGCUCCAGUUUCAACUGUUAUGCCUGCGGUUAUGGAAUCCUGACCUGUUCACCGGACGUGCUACCUGUCCCAGACCUGCUGUAUUCAACUCUCUAGAGACAGCAGGAGCGGUAGAGAUACUCUUAAUGAUCGGCUAUGAAAAGCCAACUGACAACUACUGUGAUUAUUAUUAUUUGACCAUGCUGGUCAUUUAUGAACAUUUGAACAUCUUGGCCAUGUUCUGUUAUAAUCUCCACCCGGCACAGCCAGAAUAGGACUGGCCACCCCUCAUAGCCUGGUUCCUCUCUAGGUUUCUUCCUAGGUUUUGGCCUUUCUUUUUCCUAGCCACCGUGCUUCUACACCUGCAUUGCUUGCUGUUUGGGGUUUUAGGCUGGGUUUCUGUACAGCACUUUGAGAUAUCAGCUGAUGUACGAAGGGCUAUAUAAAUACAUUUGAUUUGAUUUGUGUUCACUUGGUACAGAAAUAAAAACAGCAUUUAUUCUAAAUUACGGUAAUAUAUAAAUUGCGUGUGUUGAUGUGUGUGUAGAGAACCAGUCCCUCUCCUCUUGUUGUUGUAAACCCUAAUGGUCUGUUCAGAUGGCUGUGCUCCAGUCAGUCUGUCCCUGUAUGUGUCUCAGAGGCCUAGUCUAUUGUUAUUUCCCUCAGCUCUCAAUGUUUAGGAUUGGAGCGAUCUGCUCUGCCCAGAGAGGGACAAGGAGAAUACUGGUGGAGAGAAUACACCAUGGCUAGAACACACUAUCAGUACAGGACCAGUCAAAACAUCCCAUAAUCAUAAAACCUAAACCCUGUGUCCAUAACGACCAGUUCCCUCUGCUGUGCUGUCAUUGGCUGGAUUACAAUUAGGAUUAGGAUGGAUCGGUUUAGCUGCUAGGCUGAUUGAAAUACAGUAAAAAAUAAUAAUAAUAAUAAGGCUUUUUCAUUGAUGUGCUGUCUUUUGUAAACAGUGGUUUAUACAGUGUCAGGUACGGAUAAUCCUACCAAUUCAGGAGGAUUACAGAGAAUCAAUAGUGACCCAGUCUUUACAUGAGCAGACAAAAUCAUCAGGGAUCUACCUUUCAAAGCAGAAUUCUUUAACUACACCUUUUGUUUAGACAUACUAAGGCCUUUAAAAUGCAACGUUAAUAGGAAAGGCUGUACAGUGGAGUC
Long non-coding RNA from Oncorhynchus tshawytscha (Chinook salmon), 1331 nucleotides. The record is from Ensembl. Lineage: Eukaryota; Metazoa; Chordata; Actinopteri; Salmoniformes; Salmonidae.